RNAcentral lists this ribosomal RNA (253 nucleotides) under uncultured bacterium. RNAcentral describes it as "partial 16S ribosomal RNA". It matches the Rfam family "Bacterial small subunit ribosomal RNA", at positions 524 to 776 of the family's 1533-position model. The record is from RNAcentral.
UACAGAGGGGGCAAGCGUUGUUCGGAAUUACUGGGCGUAAAGGGCGCGUAGGCGGCCCGCUAAGUCGAACGUGAAAUCCCCAGGCUUAACCUGGGAACUGCGUCCGAUACUGGAUGGCUUGAAUUCGGGAGAGGGAUGCAGAAUUCCAGGUGUAGCGGUGAAAUGCGUAGAUAUCUGGAGGAAUACCGGUGGCGAAGGCGGCAUCCUGGACCGAUAUUGACACUGAUGAGCGAAAGCUAGGGGAGCAAACGGG